UGAACGCUGGCGGCGCGCCUAACACAUGCAAGUCGAACGAUUAAAAGCACCUUUACGGUGUGUAUAAAAGUGGCGAAACGGCUGAGUAACACGUGGGCAACCUGCCUUUGCACUGGGAUAGCCUCGGGAAACCGAGGUUAAUACCGGAUACUCCAUAUAUAUCGCAUGAUGUAUAUGGGAAAAGCUCCGACGGCAAAGGAUGGGCCCGCGGCCUGUUAGCUAGUUGGUGGGGUAACGGCCUACCCAAGGCAAUGAUGGGUAGCCGGGUUGAGAGACCGACCGGCCAGAUUGGGACUGAGACACGGCCCAGACUCCUACGGGAGGCAGCAGUGGGGAAUCUUGCACAAUGGGCGAAAGCCUGAUGCAGCGACGCCGCGUGCGGGAUGAAGGCCUUCGGGUCGUAAACCGCUUUCAGCAGGGACGAGGCCGCAAGGUGACGGUACCUGCAGAAGAAGCCCCGGCUAACUACGUGCCAGCAGCCGCGGUAAU
Molecule: ribosomal RNA, 489 nt
Filed under: uncultured Atopobium sp.
Lineage: Bacteria; Bacillati; Actinomycetota; Coriobacteriia; Coriobacteriales; Atopobiaceae
Description: bacterial SSU rRNA
Rfam family: Bacterial small subunit ribosomal RNA
Source: RNAcentral